UAUUUAAGGCACAGAACCACAGAUGUCAGAGUAAAUACAGACUGCCACAUUACAAUAACUAGACAAGAAUAUCUGCGCAAGCUUUUGAUUUGCAGGAUGAAGACUUUACAUGCAAUCAUGCUGAUGCUGUUUGUUGCAUCAGUCUUUUCAAAACCAUCUCGUCUGCGCAGAUCUGAUUCAGCAGCAUCAGAUUCAGCAGCAUCAGAUUCAGCAGCAUCAGAUUCAGUAGCAUCAGAUUCAGCAGCAUCAGAUUCAGCAGCAUCAGAUUUAGCAGCAUCAGAUGAAACUGGUUCACUCAGUGCUGACAGUCUCAGAGUGGACGAUUCACAGUCAGUUGAGAAUUCUGUUGAGACUAAUUCAUCUUCAGAGGAAGUUAGAGGUACCCCUCCACCAUGAACCAUCAUGACACAAGACAUCACAAACCAUUACUGUGGAUCUGACAACUGAGAUAAUGGGCGAUACUAAUAAAAUCAAUACAAUAUCUUGCAAUACUACUGCUUAAUCAACUUUUCAUGCAAAAAAAAAAAAAAAAAAAAAAAAAUCUAUCUGUGCUAAUGAAGGUCUUGAAACUGAUUGAUAAACUUUUAAAAUUCAUAAUUCAUUACUUUGAAAAGAUUUUAUGUGCUCAUUCAGAAUAAAAAAUCUUUCAAAUGCAA
This is a long non-coding RNA of Labeo rohita (rohu), 656 nucleotides long. RefSeq lists it as uncharacterized. The transcript is spliced from 3 exons. The record is from RefSeq and is a predicted model, not a curated record. Lineage: Eukaryota; Metazoa; Chordata; Actinopteri; Cypriniformes; Cyprinidae.